GAGAGGAGUGCCUUUAAACAAGGUAGGCCACCCAGCGGCACCUCUGCCUACCCUCGCGGCCGCCAUUUUGUUGGGCUUUCAGCCAUAGCUGCUGCCAUGCCAUAAAAGUGCGGGAAAGGAGAUGCUGAGGUGCAGCUGUUGGAGGGCUGGGUUGUUGUGGUGGUCCCUCAUCAGUGCCACCAGCUGUGAGCCUUUAGCAGGGACAUGAUGGGCUCAGCUGCCCUAGGCCUGCCUCAGCCUUUAUCAUGAGCAUCCAUGAGCCUCCUGGAUGAGAUUCUUCUGCAGUGCCUGAUCCUGUCCUGGAGGUGUGCUGGUUAGAUGGCAACAGAACUGCUGAUGAAAAGGACCUGAGUGAUGUGCAUCCUCCCCUGUUUGUAACUUCGUGCCAUGCUAGCCAGCAGAUUAUGCACUUCCAGCAAACUGAGGAAAAAUUGUAUCCUUGGUCUGGGAAGCUGAACCUUGCACGGACCACUGAUGGGAGGAGACUCUUCAGAAAGGGAAGAAGCUCAUAAGAAGUUGUUGAUUGUGUGUUGCAGUAGCAGCCUCAGGCAGUGCCUGCUCAGUGAUCUGAGUACAUCCGCUUUCCACCUCCUGCAAUGCCAACAACAUGACAUUCUCAGCUUCUGUUGUAGCACUUCUUGUUUCAUUUGUUCCCUCAUCCACACCUCUGAUCACUCACAGUCACCAGUGACCAUAAUGAUCUAUUAAAUUGAUGUACCUAAGAAUGAAAUGUGGAAGCCAAAUGUAUCAGUGGCAAUGUACAAC
This 765-nucleotide long non-coding RNA is filed under the name Coturnix japonica (Japanese quail). Its description in RNAcentral is "lncRNA (ENSCJPG00005020629.1)". The record is from RNAcentral. Lineage: Eukaryota; Metazoa; Chordata; Aves; Galliformes; Phasianidae.